RNAcentral lists this ribosomal RNA (449 nucleotides) under uncultured bacterium. RNAcentral's name for it is "partial 16S ribosomal RNA". It matches the Rfam family "Bacterial small subunit ribosomal RNA", at positions 29 to 523 of the family's 1533-position model. The record is from RNAcentral.
AACGAACGCUGGCGGCAUGCCUAACACAUGCAAGUCGAACGAGAUCUUCGGGUCUAGUGGCGCACGGGUGCGUAACGCGUGGGAAUCUGCCCUUUGGUUCGGAAUAACAGUUGGAAACGACUGCUAAUACCAGGUGAUGACGAAAGUCCAAAGAUUUAUCGCCAGAGGAUGAGCCCGCGUAGGAUUAGCUAGUUGGUGCGGUAAAGGCGCGCCAAGGCGACGAUCCUUAGCUGGUCUGAGAGGAUGAUCAGCCACACUGGGACUGAGACACGGCCCAGACUCCUACGGGAGGCAGCAGUGGGGAAUAUUGGACAAUGGGCGAAAGCCUGAUCCAGCAAUGCCGCGUGAGUGAUGAAGGCCUUAGGGUUGUAAAGCUCUUUUACCCGGGAUGAUAAUGACAGUACCGGGAGAAUAAGCUCCGGCUAACUCCGUGCCAGCCGCCGCAGUAA